UGGGGAAUUUUGGACAAUGGGGGAAACCCUGAUCCAGCCAUCCCGCGUGCGCGAUGAAGGCCUUCGGGUUGUAAAGCACUUUUGGCAGGAAAGAAACGUCAUGGGUUAAUACCCCGCGAAACUGACGGAACCUGCAGAAUAAGCACCGGCCAACUACGUGCCAGCAGGCGCGGUAAUACGUAGGGUGCAAGCGUUAACCGGAAUUACUGGGCGUAAAGCGUGCGCAGGCGGUUCGGAAAGAAAGAUGUGAAAUCCCAGAGCUCAACUUUGGAACUGCAUUUUUAACUACCGGGCUAGAGUUUGUCAGAGGGAGGUGGAAUUCCGCGUGUAGCAGUGAAAUGCGUAGAUAUGCGGAGGAACACCGAUGGCGAAGGCAGCCUCCUGGAAUAACACUGACGCUCAUGCACGAAAGCGUGGGGAGCAAACAGG
Molecule: ribosomal RNA, 429 nt
Filed under: Acidobacteriota bacterium
Lineage: Bacteria; Pseudomonadati; Acidobacteriota
Description: Acidobacteria bacterium partial 16S ribosomal RNA
Rfam family: Bacterial small subunit ribosomal RNA
Source: RNAcentral